GGCUGUUUGAACUCUGUGAUCCUCCUGCCUCAGCUUCCCAGAGUGCUGGGAUGACAGGUGUGGGUCACCAUGCCUGACCGAGUUCUACCCUUUGGAUAUGUGAAUUGUAUGACAUGUAAAUUCUGUCGCCAUCAAGCCAUUAUGUAAAAACCAGUGCAGGGAGCGCGCCCCCCCUGUGCCCUCCGCCCAGCCUGCUGUGACCUUCCUUUCUUCCCCUUCCAGUCCUUCAUCGCCCUGCCCAGGGUGCAGAGGGCACCUUCAGAGGCUGAGGCAGAAGGAUCAAAAGUUGGAGCCCAGCCUGGGGAACUCAGCUACUUAGCGGCAGGCGCUGUUUCCAAAUAAACAAUAAAAAGGGCUGGGGACGCAGCUCAGUGCAAAGGCCCUGGGUCCAAUCUCUGGUGCUGCAAAACACACAGAGACACAGAAGCCCUCGAUCUCUACCGUGAGAGGCUAAAGCUUGUGUGCUCAUGUCUUAGACCUCUUCCUGUCUCCUAAUGGCUUCCCAGGAGGCUUUGCGUCUGGCUCUGAGCUCACCGUGUGGAGUCCCUGGAGGCUGUCACAGGCUCUCAGAGGCUGAGCAAGUCAGGGCAGGAGCCCGCCCUCCCUGCAGCCCCGGGGCCUCUGGGACACUGAGCCCCAGCACCACUCAGGUCCCCAGGGAGGGAGCCAGGGCCUGGCACCACCCCUGACAGGAGGGACCUUUGGAGUCAUUCUGGUCCUGCCUGCUUUCUGACCAGAUCCCAAGCUCUCCAGCCCUCUGGACUCUGCAGCAGACUGAAAAGAAUCUCCUGUUCUUUCUUGCCAACUGCUAAGCCCUUUAAAGUGACAAGUGACAGCAGCAUCCCUGGGGACCGGAGACUGAGCUCCGACCUGCUCUCUGUGCUGAGUUCCCCAGGAGCUUUGCCUGCUUCGGCCUCGGAAGCCAGGGACGGAGGAGCCUGGGGUCUCCCUGUUUUCUUCCCACGGUUGGACAUUGGGGUCCCAGGACCUUCCUCUCCUGACUCACCCCAUCCCUGGGCUGCAGCAGGGUGGACUUGGUGCAAAGGCCCUGGCUUCAACCCACAGGAGUGCAAAAGGUAAGUUAAUUAAUUAAUUAAUUAAUUAAAAAUAAAUAAACAGGGCUGAAGUUGCAGCUCAGGGCAAAGGUCCUGAGUUCAGUCCUCAGUACCACAAAAAAAGUCACUGAUGGUCACUUCCUGACCCCACUCACCCAGUUCUCCCAUGCUCUGUGGGUCUCUGUUGUUUUGUUUUGAGACAGGAUCUCGCUGUGGAGUUCAGGCUGACCUUGAACUCACUAUGUAGCCCAGGCUGGCCUGAACCUUGCAGCAAUUCUCCUGCCUCAGCCUCCGGAAAGUGGGUCUCUGUUUUCUCAGCAGUCCUGGGUUCAAAGCCCUGAGGUGGGUUGAGGGAAGGCUCCAGCCACUCCUGCCCCUGUCCCUCAGGGAGGAGACCCAUGCAUGUUCCAGUCCAUACACCAAGGCCAGUGUUAGCUGAACUCUGGGGUGCGGUUUG
RNAcentral lists this long non-coding RNA (1512 nucleotides) under Heterocephalus glaber (naked mole-rat). Its description in RNAcentral is "lncRNA (ENSHGLG00100049267.1)". The record is from RNAcentral. Lineage: Eukaryota; Metazoa; Chordata; Mammalia; Rodentia; Bathyergidae.